This 497-nucleotide ribosomal RNA is filed under the name uncultured bacterium. RNAcentral describes it as "bacterial SSU rRNA". It matches the Rfam family "Bacterial small subunit ribosomal RNA", at positions 28 to 514 of the family's 1533-position model. The record is from RNAcentral.
GACGAACGCUGGCGGCGUGCUUAACACAUGCAAGUCGAACGGAGUUUUAGUAAAUGAUUGAUUUAGCUUGCUAUUGAGAGAUUUUGCUAAAACUUAGUGGCGGACGGGUGAGUAACGCGUGGGUAACCUGCCGUAUACAGGGGGACAACAGUUGGAAACGACUGCUAAUACCGCAUAAGCGCACUAAAGCUGCAUGGCUCAGUGUGAAAAACUCCGGUGGUAUAAGAUGGAUUCGCGUCUGAUUAGCUAGUUGGUGAGGUAACGGCUCACCAAGUCGACGAUCAGUAGCCGGACUGAGAGGUUGAACGGCCACAUUGGGACUGAGACACGGCCCAGACUCCUACGGGAGCAGCAGUGAGGGAUAUUGCACAAUGGGGGAAACCCUGAUGCAGCGAUGCCGCGUGGAGGAAGAAGGUUUUUCGGAUUGUAAACUCCUUUAUCAGGGACGAUAAUGACGGUACCUGAAGAAAAAGCUCCGGCUAACUACGUGCCAGCAG